This 301-nucleotide ribosomal RNA is filed under the name uncultured bacterium. Its description in RNAcentral is "partial 16S ribosomal RNA". It matches the Rfam family "Bacterial small subunit ribosomal RNA", at positions 509 to 807 of the family's 1533-position model. The record is from RNAcentral.
CAGUCGCCGCGGUAAUACGUAGGGUGCAAGCGUUAAUCGGAAUUACUGGGCGUAAAGCGUGCGCAGGCGGUUUGUUAAGACAGAUGUGAAAUCCCCGGGCUCAACCCGAAGUCUGCACGGGAAACUACUGGGCUUGAGUAAUGGAGAGGUGAGUGGAAUUUCCGGUGUAGCGGUGAAAUGCGUAGAUAUUGGAAGGAACACCUGUGGCGAAAGCGGCUCACUGGACAUUUACUGACGCUGAUGCACGAAAGCUAGGGGAGCAAGCAGGAUUAGAUACCCCAGUAGUCCCUGUCUCUUAUAC